GACGAACGCUGGCGGCGUGCUUAACACAUGCAAGUCGAACGGAAAGGCCCUGCGCUUGUUGGGUGCUCGUUUGGCGAACGGGUGAGUAACACGUGUGUAUCCUGCCCUUGACUUUCGGAUAACUUCAGGAAACUGGGGCUCAUACCGGAUAUAAUCUCUUGCUGCAUGGUGUGGGUUGGAAAGUUUCGGCGUUUCGGGAUGGACUCGCUGCUUAUGAGCUUCUUGGUGGGGUAGUGGCUUACCAAGGCUUUGACGGGUAGCCGGCCUGAGAGGGUUAACGGCGACAUUGGGACUGAGAGACGGACCAGACUCCUACGGGACGCAGCAGGGGGGAAUAUUGCACAAUGGGGGGAAGCCUGAUGCAGCAACGCCGCGUGCGGGAUGACGGCCUUCGGGGUGUAAACAGCUUUCGAAGGUGACGAAGAGUGAGUGACGGUAAUGAGUAAAGAAGCAACGGCUAACUACGUG
RNAcentral lists this ribosomal RNA (468 nucleotides) under uncultured bacterium. Its description in RNAcentral is "partial 16S ribosomal RNA". It matches the Rfam family "Bacterial small subunit ribosomal RNA", at positions 28 to 507 of the family's 1533-position model. The record is from RNAcentral.